RNAcentral lists this ribosomal RNA (550 nucleotides) under Funneliformis mosseae. RNAcentral's name for it is "SSU rRNA". It matches the Rfam family "Eukaryotic small subunit ribosomal RNA", at positions 548 to 1098 of the family's 1831-position model. Lineage: Eukaryota; Fungi; Glomeromycota; Glomeromycetes; Glomerales; Glomeraceae. The record is from RNAcentral.
UUGGAGGGCAAGUCUGGUGCCAGCAGCCGCGGUAAUUCCAGCUCCAAUAGCGUAUAUUAAAGUUGUUGCAGUUAAAAAGCUCGUAGUUGAAUUUCGGGAUCAAUAUUUCGGUCAUGCCGUUGGUAUGCACUGUUAUCAUUGAUUUCUCACCUUCUAAAGAACCGUGAUGCCAUUAAUUUGGUGUUACGGGGAAUUAGGACUGUUACCUUGAAAAAAUUAGAGUGUUUAAAGCAGGCUCACGCUUGAAUACAUUAGCAUGGAAUAAUGAAAUAGGACAUCCGAUUCUAUUUUGUUGGUUUCUAGGAUCGAUGUAAUGAUUAAUAGGGAUAGUUGGGGGCAUUAGUAUUCAAUUGUCAGAGGUGAAAUUCUUGGAUUUAUUGAAGACCAACUACUGCGAAAGCAUUUGCCAAGGAUGUUUUCAUUAAUCAAGAACGAAAGUUAGGGGAUCGAAGACGAUCAGAUACCGUCGUAGUCUUAACCAUAAACUAUGCCGACUAGGGAUCGGAUGAUGUUAAUUUUUUAAUGACUCAUUCGGCGCCUUACGGGAAAC